GACGAACGCUGGCGGCGUGCUUAACACAUGCAAGUCGAACGGAAAGGCCCUGCUUUUGUGGGGUGCUCGAGUGGCGAACGGGUGAGUAACACGUGAGUAACCUGCCCUUUACUUUGGGAUAACUUCAGGAAACUGGGGCUAAUACCGGAUAGGAGCUCCUGCUGCAUGGUGGGGGUUGGAAAGUUUCGGCGGUUGGGGAUGGACUCGCGGCUUAUCAGCUUGUUGGUGGGGUAGUGGCUUACCAAGGCUUUGACGGGUAGCCGGCCUGGGAGGGUGACCGGCGACAUUGGGACUGAGAUACGGACCAGACUCCUACGGGAGGCAGCAGGGGGGAAUAUUGCACAAUGGGCGGAAGCCUGAUGCAGCAACGCCGCGUGCGGGAUGACGGCCUUCGGGUUGUAAACCGCUUUCGCCUGUGACGAAGCGUGAGUGACGGUAAUGGGUAAAGAAGCACCGGCUAACUACGUG
RNAcentral lists this ribosomal RNA (468 nucleotides) under uncultured bacterium. RNAcentral describes it as "partial 16S ribosomal RNA". It matches the Rfam family "Bacterial small subunit ribosomal RNA", at positions 28 to 507 of the family's 1533-position model. The record is from RNAcentral.